CCUACGGGGGGCAGCAGUGGGGAAUAUUGGACAAUGGGCGAAAGCCUGAUCCAGCCAUGCCGCGUGUGUGAAGAAGGCCUUCGGGUUGUAAAGCACUUUCAGUGGGGAAGGAAGCCUUGGGGCUAAUACCCUCGAGGAAGGACAUCACCCACAGAAGAAGCACCGGCUAACUCCGUGCCAGCAGCCGCGGUAAUACGGAGGGUGCGAGCGUUAAUCGGAAUUACUGGGCGUAAAGCGCGCGUAGGCGGUCUGAUAAGCCGGUUGUGAAAGCCCCGGGCUCAACCUGGGAACGGCAUCCGGAACUGUCAGGCUAGAGUGCAGGAGAGGAAGGUAGAAUUCCCGGUGUAGCGGUGAAAUGCGUAGAGAUCGGGAGGAAUACCAGUGGCGAAGGCGGCCUUCUGGACUGACACUGACGCUGAGGUGCGAAAGCGUGGGUAGCAAACAGGAUUAGAUACCCGAGUAGUC
This 465-nucleotide ribosomal RNA is filed under the name Vreelandella stevensii. Its description in RNAcentral is "partial 16S ribosomal RNA". It matches the Rfam family "Bacterial small subunit ribosomal RNA", at positions 338 to 795 of the family's 1533-position model. The record is from RNAcentral. Lineage: Bacteria; Pseudomonadati; Pseudomonadota; Gammaproteobacteria; Oceanospirillales; Halomonadaceae.